RNAcentral lists this long non-coding RNA (464 nucleotides) under Physcomitrium patens. Its description in RNAcentral is "long non-coding RNA (PPAT_LNC008574)". The record is from RNAcentral. Lineage: Eukaryota; Viridiplantae; Streptophyta; Bryopsida; Funariales; Funariaceae.
UUGGACCAUAUGUAAUGGUAGAAGUCUAUGAUAAUGCCAAAUAUUCAUUGAAGAGUUGGAUGGUACAAGGUUGAAGAUAUCUAUUGCUAGAAAGUGAGUGUAGAUUUUCAAAAGACAAGAUAGACAAAUCAAGGUAGAGGAUCAUGCUGAAGAUAUUAAUAUUUUUAAAUAAGAUAAUUGUACUAAAAUGGAUGGUGAAAAUAAUAAUGAAGAAAUUAAUGCAAAAAAUAAAAAGAAAAUAUGAUGCCAAUUAUGACAUAAGAUUCAUUUGGCACAAAUUGGAUGAUGUGUAGUUCAGAGGAGGUAGAUGUUAUAUUAUAAUACAACUAUAUGGUGAAAAUAUAAUCAAAAAUGAAUUUCUAAUUAAUAUUUAGCCAUCUUGAUUCAAUAAUAAUUGAAGAUAUUUAAAAAUAAAUUUUAUAAAAGAUUUUUGAUUUAUUUUCUUAUCUUCAUAGCUAGUAGAU